RNAcentral lists this ribosomal RNA (253 nucleotides) under uncultured bacterium. Its description in RNAcentral is "partial 16S ribosomal RNA". It matches the Rfam family "Bacterial small subunit ribosomal RNA", at positions 524 to 776 of the family's 1533-position model. The record is from RNAcentral.
UACAGAGGUCCCAAGCGUUGUUCGGAUUCAUUGGGCGUAAAGGGUGCGUAGGUGGUGAUGCAAGUCUGGUGUGAAAUCUCGGAGCUCAACUCCGAAAUUGCACCGGAUACUGCGUGACUCGAGGACUGUAGAGGAGAUCGGAAUUCACGGUGUAGCAGUGAAAUGCGUAGAUAUCGUGAGGAAGACCAGUUGCGAAGGCGGAUCUCUGGACAGUUCCUGACGCUGAGGCACGAAGGUCAGGGGAGCAAACGGG